RNAcentral lists this long non-coding RNA (424 nucleotides) under Ananas comosus (pineapple). RNAcentral's name for it is "long non-coding RNA (ACOM_LNC031055)". Lineage: Eukaryota; Viridiplantae; Streptophyta; Magnoliopsida; Poales; Bromeliaceae. The record is from RNAcentral.
UUUAACAACAUCAAGUCUUUCAUAUAUUCCAAAUACAAUAUUAUUAACAACACCAAGUCAUUAAUUCAAUUUCACUCAACAUAAUUCAUGAACAACUAAAACUAAACAAUCUUUUAAAAAUCAAAGAUCUGAACAUUAGAUUUCAGCUUGAAGUUGUAAAUCUUGUUCUAGGUAGUCUUUUUAAAAAAUUAUAUUUCUAUAAAAUUUAAGUUAUCAUAUUCAUUUUUUCAAAAAUUCUUCCUUUUAUAAAUAUAUUCUUACAUGUAUAUGCAAUAUCAUCUAACACAUUCCUACAAUACAGGAGGUGGCCCCCUCAACCUUUAUAUAUAUAUAUAUAUAUAUAUAUAUAUAUAUAUAUAUAUAUAUAUAGCAGGACUGCUGUGCUCUCAGGAGCACGGAGGCCUCUAUACUCCUGAGCCGUUUU